UAUACAACCUACAUACCUCG
RNAcentral lists this unclassified non-coding RNA (20 nucleotides) under Thermus thermophilus. Its description in RNAcentral is "5'-R(*UP*AP*U*AP*CP*AP*AP*CP*CP*UP*AP*CP*AP*UP*AP*CP*CP*UP*CP* G)-3' from Thermus thermophilus (PDB 5XPG, chain G)". The record is from RNAcentral. Lineage: Bacteria; Thermotogati; Deinococcota; Deinococci; Thermales; Thermaceae.